CUCCCCCAUCAGAACUCUACCAUCCUCGCCCUUGAUGCACCUAACUUGGUCAAGAUCACACGUCUUCCUUUCCCUUGCUUUAGCUAACCGGAAUAAAUUCCUGUCCCCGAAUUUCUUCCCUAAUUCCUGGUACAUGCGAUCAAAUGGCGUGUUUUUAGAGUCCGUAACCGCCAGCUUUGCUUCUUUCCUCGCUACCUUGUAGAUCUCCCUGUUCGCUCUCCGUUCUUCCUCGCUUGUGCUCUCUGCCAACUUAGAAAAUGCCGCCUUCUUCACCUCCACUUUUCCUUCGACUACAUCGUUCCACCACCAGU
RNAcentral lists this long non-coding RNA (311 nucleotides) under Nicotiana benthamiana. RNAcentral's name for it is "long non-coding RNA (NBEN_LNC001805)". The record is from RNAcentral. Lineage: Eukaryota; Viridiplantae; Streptophyta; Magnoliopsida; Solanales; Solanaceae.